AUGGCCCAACACGAUGAGAUCGAAAGGCCUUGUCUGCGAAUCACAGGCUUACUUGUGGUCAUCAAACACCUAAGUUGUUCGGGCAGAAGAGAAGCAGGGAAGUCCUCACAGUGUCUGUUCUGGUCGACCUUGCAAGUUAUAUGGAAGAGAGGACCCCAGAAAAAGCAACCUCUUCCAAUUGACUUCCAACCCUGUCUUUUUCUGCCCCUAAAAAUGGCUCUGGAGGUGACUUUGAGUACAAAAUGGAGAGCCGGCAAAGAGGAGUAAAUAGUUGGAUGACUUGCAGAGACAAGAGGCGGAAACUCACAAUCGGUAAAAGGAUGAUUUUUUUUAAAUGGUAUUUGUUAAGCACUUAUUAUGUGCCAGCCACUGUACUAAGCACUGGGGGAGAUGCAGCUUGGACACAGUCCCUGUCCCACAUAGGGCUCACAAUCUUAAUCCCCAUUUUACAGAUGAGGUAACUGAGGCAUGGAGAAGUUAAGUGACUUCCCCAAGGUUACAAACAGACAAGUGGCAAACCUGGGAUUAGAACCUAAAUCCUUUUGACUCUCAGACUCGUGCUCUAUCCACUAGGCCAAGCUGAUGUGAUGAAUCAUUUUUCCAUUUUAAAGCAAAAGAUUUUAGUGGAUGGUUCCAAUUCAUAGCCUCUUGGCUUUGGAGCAUUCUGCCCCCAUGGAGGUAAGGGCUGCUAGGGGGAAGAUGGAAUAGGUUUUUUUUAAUAUUACUUUAAAUAUUCAAUCAAUCAAUGAUAUCAAGGACGUUUCAGCUAGGGGGAGGGACAUUUUCAGAGAACUUAAAGGGAAGUAAAACAUUGAAAUGAGUCAGUCCAGAAUUAGUAGUUAGGAGUUAUAUAGGGAGGUGGGGAGAGACAAAGAAGGCUGGAUAGCCUCAAUUGCCUAGUGGGAGGCUUUGAUACUGAGGUGAAGAGCUGGGCGUUCUGAUGGUUGAGGGUUGAGACUGACAUUCUGGUGCCCUGUUCAAAUGGGGUAAGUGGAAAAUGCUUUUUCUGAACUUUAAAAUCUUGCAAUGGAGAGAUUCAAUGAAUUAAAUAGGCUCAUAGGGGUCUAGCAAUCAGUCAAUCAGUGGUAUUUAUUGAGUGCUUUAUGUGUGCAGAGCCCUAUAUUAAGCACUUGGGAGAGUACAAGACAGCAGAGGUGGUAGACUUGUUAGCUGUGUGACUUUGGGCAAGUCACUUAGCUUCUUGGUGCCUCAGUUACCUCAUCUGUAAAAUAGGGAUUAAGACUGUGAGCCCCACCUGGGACAACAUGAUUCCCCUGUGUCUACCCCAGCACUUAGAACAGUGCUCGGCACAUAGUAAGUGCUUAACAAAUACCAACAUUAGUAUUAUUAUUAUUAUUAUUCCCUGCCUAUAAGAAGUUAACAAUCUAGGAGGGGAGACUCUGUUAUCCUGUACUCUCCCAAGUGCUUAGUACAGUGUUCUGCACACAAUAAGAGCUCAAUAAGUACCACUGAUUUAUCGAUUGUGUAUAUGAGAUUUGCAUAUAAAUGCUGUGAGCCUGACUGUGGGGUGAAUAUUGUGUUUAAAUGAAACAGAUCCAAGUGCAUAGGCGACACCGAAGGGAGCUUCCAUUGUUUCCAUAGUUACAGAGAGUGUUCCAGGCUAUCCUGGGUUUCAAGUUGCAUAUAAGUUUUGCAUACCCUUUAGAUCACAGAAAUAAACUUGAAUGGAAUUGUCUUGCCUUCUGCACAAAGACAUUUACACGUUUUAUACUUUGAGG
This 1739-nucleotide long non-coding RNA is filed under the name Ornithorhynchus anatinus (platypus). RNAcentral describes it as "lncRNA (ENSOANG00000036952.1)". Lineage: Eukaryota; Metazoa; Chordata; Mammalia; Monotremata; Ornithorhynchidae. The record is from RNAcentral.